AUGAAGUUCUAAUUGUUAAAGAAGGCAAUGGAAAAUUGUAAUUAAACUAGAAAAGUGGACUCAGUGUGGCAGUGACGACAGCGGCAGCGAGAGGAUGAACAAGUUCAACGCCUUGAAAGAUGAUAACAGUGGGGACCAUGAUCAGAAUGAAGAAAACAGCACACAGAGAUGGUGAGAAGGAAAAAACGGAACGAGACAAGAAUCAGAACAGCAGCAAAAGGAAGGCUAUUGUCCCUGGACCAGGAGAGCACCCGCUGCAGUACAACUACACAUAUUGGUAUUCCAGGAUAACCCCCGGCCGUCCUACCAGCUUACAAAGCUAAGAACAGAAUAUCAAACAUAUUGGCACCUUUGCCUCUGUGGAGCAGUUCUGGAGUUUUUAUAGCCACAUGGUACGUCCUGGGGACCUGACAGGCCACAGUGACUUCCAUCACUUCAAAGAAGGAAUUAAACUCAUGUGGGAGGAUGAUGCAAAUAAAAAUGGUGGCAAGUGGAUUAUUCAGUUGCGAAAGGGCUUGGCCUCCCAUUGCUGGGGGAAUCUCAUCCUGGCCAUGUUGGGGGAACAGUUCAUGGUGGGAAAGGAGAUCUGUGGGGCUGUGGUCUCUGUCCACUUUCAGGAGGACAUUAUUUCAAUAUGGAAUAAGACUGCCAGUGACCCAGCAACCACAGCCCGAAUCCGGCAUACGCUUCGGCGAGUGCUUACCCUAUCUCCCAACACCAUUAUGGAAUACAAAACUCACACUGACAGCAUCAAAAUGCCAGGCAGGCUGGACCCCCAAAGGCUCCUUUUUCAAAACCUCUGGAAGCCGUGGUUGAAUGUGCCAUGACCCUCUCUCUCUGGAUGGCACCAUCUUUGAAGCUGAUGUCAUCGGAGUCUCUUGUUCUGUUGGCGUGCUACCUGGAAGAUCCUUCUGUCCUGGACAAGAGGAAUUGGAAGAGCAUUUUAUGUUUUAAUAACAGGCUGACACACAGCAGCUACAACAUCAGCUGAGAUCACUUAAUAAAUGGUGCUAAACUAAAAAAAAAAAAACAAAA
RNA transcript from Nycticebus coucang (slow loris), 1035 nucleotides. It is a transcript of the gene named eukaryotic translation initiation factor 4E type 2-like, with no coding region annotated. NCBI's taxonomy places the organism in Eukaryota, Metazoa, Chordata, Mammalia, Primates, Lorisidae. The record is from RefSeq and is a predicted model, not a curated record. The transcript has a single exon.